RNAcentral lists this ribosomal RNA (239 nucleotides) under Pseudo-nitzschia fraudulenta. RNAcentral describes it as "partial Bacterial large subunit ribosomal RNA". It matches the Rfam family "Bacterial large subunit ribosomal RNA", at positions 2613 to 2864 of the family's 2925-position model. Lineage: Eukaryota; Bacillariophyta; Bacillariophyceae; Bacillariales; Bacillariaceae. The record is from RNAcentral.
AGAACGUCGUGAGACAGUUCGGUCCCUAUCUGCCGUGGGUGUAGGAAUAUUGAUUGGAUCUGUCCCUAGUACGAGAGGACCGGGAUGGACACACCGCUGGUGGACCUGUUGUCCUGCCAAGGGCAUUGCAGGGUAGCUAUGUGUGGAACGGAUAACCGCUGAAGGCAUCUAAGCGGGAAACUAACCCAAAGACGAGUAUUCCCUGAGAGCCGUGGAAGACUACCACGUUGAUAGGCUGG